RNAcentral lists this ribosomal RNA (629 nucleotides) under Curtobacterium sp. Ri2Pt_4012. RNAcentral's name for it is "bacterial SSU rRNA". It matches the Rfam family "Bacterial small subunit ribosomal RNA", at positions 387 to 1019 of the family's 1533-position model. Lineage: Bacteria; Bacillati; Actinomycetota; Actinomycetes; Micrococcales; Microbacteriaceae. The record is from RNAcentral.
UGCAGCAACGCCGCGUGAGGGAUGACGGCCUUCGGGUUGUAAACCUCUUUUAGUAGGGAAGAAGGGAGCUUGCUCUUGACGGUACCUGCAGAAAAAGCACCGGCUAACUACGUGCCAGCAGCCGCGGUAAUACGUAGGGUGCAAGCGUUGUCCGGAAUUAUUGGGCGUAAAGAGCUCGUAGGCGGUUUGUCGCGUCUGCUGUGAAAUCCCGAGGCUCAACCUCGGGCUUGCAGUGGGUACGGGCAGACUAGAGUGCGGUAGGGGAGAUUGGAAUUCCUGGUGUAGCGGUGGAAUGCGCAGAUAUCAGGAGGAACACCGAUGGCGAAGGCAGAUCUCUGGGCCGUAACUGACGCUGAGGAGCGAAAGCAUGGGGAGCGAACAGGAUUAGAUACCCUGGUAGUCCAUGCCGUAAACGUUGGGCGCUAGAUGUAGGGACCUUUCCACGGUUUCUGUGUCGUAGCUAACGCAUUAAGCGCCCCGCCUGGGGAGUACGGCCGCAAGGCUAAAACUCAAAGGAAUUGACGGGGGCCCGCACAAGCGGCGGAGCAUGCGGAUUAAUUCGAUGCAACGCGAAGAACCUUACCAAGGCUUGACAUACACCGGAAACGGCCAGAGAUGGUCGCCCCCUU